AGAUGCAUGUAACACUACAUCUUACAUUUAAAACCUUACAGUAAAUUUAUACUUACAGGUACUUCUUUUGGGAGACAGGAAAAUCCAGUCUUGUGUACUGUAACAAGUCAAUGUACAUUUAUUAAUUUAAAUAAGAUGCAAAAUGCAUAAUUUAAUUCAUCAAAGCUACAUAAAAAAUUUAAUUAUCUUCUGUAUUGCAGCUGUAGAAAGGGCAAUUCUGGAAACACUAGAGAAAAUGGACAUGAGGAUCAACCAUCUGACUUCACUGGUCCAGUCUCUAGUGGGGGACAGGAGUAUUGUACCCCAAAUGCAGAUGGCUGAAGAGGAAGAGGGUGGUGUCUUUCCUCUAGCAUCUACUGCAGACCUAGAUAGGCUGGAACAAAGACUGGCAGAGAAUGGGAAGAUCACUGAAACGGUCAAAUCUACAACUACUAACAAAAUGACAUUCUGCAAAAUAUGGGAGCUACACUAUGAUGAACUUGCAGACCAACAACAUAACAGACAUACAGCUGGUGCAGAGCAAUGAGGAAGGGGGAAGCUACCACGUGGAGAAGGAGGGUCUUAGAAGAAGCUUGGACCUCCUGGAGGAAAGCGGUGUAAAGUUGGACUGUGUUGUUUCUGACCGUCACCCCCAGAUAAAAAAAAAGUUUUUAAA
Molecule: long non-coding RNA, 655 nt
Organism: Carassius gibelio (silver crucian carp)
Lineage: Eukaryota; Metazoa; Chordata; Actinopteri; Cypriniformes; Cyprinidae
Exons: 3
Source: RefSeq, a predicted model, not a curated record